CGAGUGGCGGACGGGUGAGGAAUACAUCGGAAUCUACUCUGUCGUGGGGGAUAACGUAGGGAAACUUACGCUAAUACCGCAUACGACCUACGGGUGAAAGCAGGGGACCUUCGGGCCUUGCGCGAUUGAAUGAGCCGAUGUCGGAUUAGCUAGUUGGCGGGGUAAAGGCCCACCAAGGCGACGAUCCGUAGCUGGUCUGAGAGGAUGAUCAGCCACACUGGAACUGAGACACGGUCCAGACUCCUACGGGAGGCAGCAGUC
RNAcentral lists this ribosomal RNA (261 nucleotides) under uncultured Stenotrophomonas sp. Its description in RNAcentral is "partial 16S ribosomal RNA". It matches the Rfam family "Bacterial small subunit ribosomal RNA", at positions 92 to 355 of the family's 1533-position model. Lineage: Bacteria; Pseudomonadati; Pseudomonadota; Gammaproteobacteria; Lysobacterales; Lysobacteraceae. The record is from RNAcentral.